RNAcentral lists this unclassified non-coding RNA (243 nucleotides) under Xylonomycetes sp. RNAcentral's name for it is "partial contains small subunit ribosomal RNA, internal transcribed spacer 1, and 5.8S ribosomal RNA". The stretch from base 1 to 46 matches the Rfam family "Eukaryotic small subunit ribosomal RNA", at positions 1786 to 1831 of the family's 1831-position model. The record is from RNAcentral. Lineage: Eukaryota; Fungi; Ascomycota; Xylonomycetes.
AAGUCGUAACAAGGUUUCCGUAGGUGAACCUGCGGAAGGAUCAUUACAGAGAAAAUACCCCUUUUAGGGUAUAUCUCCCACCCUUUGUUUACAAUACCAUUGUUGCUUUGGCAGGCCCGUUUAAGUACCACCGGCCAUUGCUGGUCAGCGUCUGCCAAAGAAAACCUUAAAUACUAUUGUAAUUGUUUGUCAGAGUACUAUUUUAAAAAGUUAAAACUUUCAACAACGGAUCUCUUGGUUCUG